This 333-nucleotide unclassified non-coding RNA is filed under the name uncultured fungus. Its description in RNAcentral is "partial contains 5.8S ribosomal RNA, internal transcribed spacer 2, and large subunit ribosomal RNA". Lineage: Eukaryota; Fungi. The record is from RNAcentral.
AACGCAUAUUGCGCUCGAGGCCUCGGCCAAGAGCAUGUCUGCCUCAGCGUCGGCUCACCCCUCGCCACCCCCUUUUCCACCUAGCGUGAGAAAACGGACCGGCGGACCUGGCCGUCUCGGUUGAUCGAGCGCUCACCCCGCUCGAUCUGGACCGGGUCGGCUGAAGCCCAGAGGCUUGGAGCAGGACCCCGAUUGCAAGGGCACAGCUUGGUAGGUGGCUUCAUCGCCGCAUGCCGCUGGCGCCCCGAGGGCAGUGCUGCGACUCCUCAAGCCCGCAGGAAAAGAACCUUUGUUUUCGACCUGAGUUCAGGCAAGGCUACCCGCUGAACUUAA